ACUUGUGCUCUUCCGAUCUCAGGGCCAAGUUCAAGUUCCCUGGCCGCCAGAAGAUCCACAUCUCCAAGAAGCGGGGCUUUACUAAGUUUAAUGUGGACGAAUUUGAAGAUAUGGUGGCCGAAAAGCGGCUCAUCCCAGAUGGCUGUGGGGUCAAAUACAUCCCUAAUCGUGGCCCCUUGGACAAAUGGAGGGCUCUGCACUCAUGAGAACCUUGCACCACCUGAACCCUACUCAUGCCCACCAAUAAAUCCUGCUUCCUGUC
Long non-coding RNA from Canis lupus familiaris (dog), 262 nucleotides. RefSeq lists it as uncharacterized. The transcript is spliced from 4 exons. NCBI's taxonomy places the organism in Eukaryota, Metazoa, Chordata, Mammalia, Carnivora, Canidae. The record is from RefSeq and is a predicted model, not a curated record.